UCUUCAAGAAAAUUGAGAGAAGAAGGAAGAGGAAAACCAAAGGAAAACAAAGAAGAGAAAUCGGACAAGGAGGGGAAAAAUUCACUCCUUGAAAUUUCAUCUCUAAAAUUAUAAUUUCUUGGUAUUUCCACUAAAUCAAGGGUCCUCUAUAACAUGGUAAAUUUAUUUUGGAAGAUAGAAGGCUUGUUUGGUUGAUUUGAAGCUUUGGUAAAGUGAAGAAGUUGGAAGGAAAAGGGGAGAUGCUGCCGAAAUUUUUGUAGACAAGUAUUGGAAAAAUUGAAUUCUUAAAGUCUUAUGAAUAGUAAUUGGUAAAUGUGACCAAUUGUAGAUUUUGGAGGAAACGGAAAUUGAACUUGGACAACCGUAGAAGGCCAAAAAGGUACCGAAGUUCGAUUUGUUGAUCCACCUGUUUAGGACAUCUGCUGUGUUAUUGACAGUGCUCUCUUGUUCGGAGCUUGUAUUUUGGUACUGACUUUAUCUCUGUAUAUUUGAAUAUGUUGGUCAGGGGUACGACGGGGCCCUGUCCCGUCAUAUGGCUAUGCUAUCAUCUGUAGAGGUCUGUAGACAGAGUUAUGUUGUGGGUUUUGUAUAUAUGGUUUGGAUUUUUGUGUGUUC
This is a long non-coding RNA of Solanum dulcamara, 615 nucleotides long. RefSeq lists it as uncharacterized. NCBI's taxonomy places the organism in Eukaryota, Viridiplantae, Streptophyta, Magnoliopsida, Solanales, Solanaceae. The transcript has 3 exons. The record is from RefSeq and is a predicted model, not a curated record.